Molecule: ribosomal RNA, 247 nt
Filed under: uncultured Nostocoides sp.
Lineage: Bacteria; Bacillati; Actinomycetota; Actinomycetes; Micrococcales; Intrasporangiaceae
Description: uncultured Tetrasphaera sp. partial 16S ribosomal RNA
Rfam family: Bacterial small subunit ribosomal RNA
Source: RNAcentral
UGGCUCACCAAGGCGACGACGGGUAGCCGGCCUGAGAGGGCGACCGGCCACACUGGGACUGAGACACGGCCCAGACUCCUACGGGAGGCAGCAGUGGGGAAUAUUGCACAAUGGGCGAAAGCCUGAUGCAGCGACGCCGCGUGCGGGAUGAAGGCCUUCGGGUUGUAAACCGCUUUCAGCAGGGAAGAAGCGAAAGUGACGGUACCUGCAGAAGAAGCACCGGCUAACUACGUGCCAGCAGCCGCGG